GAUGAACGCUAGCGGCAGGCCUAAUACAUGCAAGACGAACGGUAAGUUGAGUAGCAAUACUUAGCCAAGAGUGUCGUACGGGUGCGUAACACGUAUGCAACCUACCCUAUACAGGAGGAUAGCCUAGGGAAACCUGGAUUAACCCUUCAUAGUAUUAUUGGAUGGCAUCAUUUGAUAAUUAAAACUGAGGUGGUAUAGGAUGGGCAUGCGGUCUGAUUAGUUAGUUGGCGGGUAAUGGCCCACCAAGACGAUGAUCAGUAGGGGUUCUGAGAGGAAGAUCCCCACACUGGCACUGAGAUACGGGCCAGACUCCUACGGGAGGCAGCAGUAGGGAAUAUUGGUCAAUGGAUGCAAGUCUGAACCAGCCAUGCGCGUGCAGGAAGAAGG
Molecule: ribosomal RNA, 387 nt
Filed under: uncultured bacterium
Lineage: Bacteria
Description: bacterial SSU rRNA
Rfam family: Bacterial small subunit ribosomal RNA
Source: RNAcentral